ACGAACGCUGGCGGCGUGCUUAACACAUGCAAGUCGAACGGAAAGGCCCUGCUUGCAGGGUACUCGAGUGGCGAACGGGUGAGUAACACGUGGGUGAGCUGCCCUGCACUUCGGGAUAAGCCUGGGAAACUGGGUCUAAUACCGGAUAGGAGCCAUUUUUAGUGUGAUGGUUGGAAAGUUUUUUCGGUGUAGGAUGAGCUCGCGGCCUAUCAGCUUGUUGGUGGGGUAAUGGCCUACCAAGGCGGCGACGGGUAGCCGGCCUGAGAGGGUGGACGGCCACAUUGGGACUGAGAUACGGCCCAGACUCCUACGGGAGGCAGCAGUGGGGAAUAUUGCACAAUGGGCGCAAGCCUGAUGCAGCGACGCCGCGUGGGGGAUGACGGCCUUCGGGUUGUAAACUCCUUUCGCUAGGGACGAAGCUUUUUGUGACGGUACCUAGAUAAGAAGCACCGGCUAACUACGUG
RNAcentral lists this ribosomal RNA (464 nucleotides) under uncultured bacterium. RNAcentral's name for it is "partial 16S ribosomal RNA". It matches the Rfam family "Bacterial small subunit ribosomal RNA", at positions 29 to 507 of the family's 1533-position model. The record is from RNAcentral.